RNAcentral lists this unclassified non-coding RNA (211 nucleotides) under Hevea brasiliensis (rubber tree). Lineage: Eukaryota; Viridiplantae; Streptophyta; Magnoliopsida; Malpighiales; Euphorbiaceae. The record is from RNAcentral.
GAAGUGCAGUAGCUUGCUCCGUUCUGUCAGAAUGAUAUAUUAGUAAUGACUACAAUUACACUUGUCCGUCCCCAUCUCUGGAAAACCAAAUAUCUUCGACAUACAACUCCCCAGAUAUAUGCAGAAAACACACAAGGUUUGGGAUUACUAAAAAUUGAAUGAGGACAAAAAGGAUGAAAGCAAAUACCCAUGUAUUUGGGAAUCCACCAGG